UGCACCUCGGCCUGGCCAGCCGGGCUGGCCUGACAUGGUGGCUGCAAGCGGAGGCUGUGAGUGAGAGGGAGCCGGGUCUGGCCAAGGUGCCGUGGCUCUGUCCCCCGUCACUGGCAGCGGUCGGCAGCCAGAGCAUUGCAGUCUCAUGGCACUUAGGGUUGACAGGGACCUUGCCAGAUCGUCGAGUCUGACCUGAUGCCCUGGGCAGGAGCAGGUGCCGGGGUCCUGUCAUCCAGUCCAACUCUCUGUCUAGCCUCAUCUCUGAGACCCACAAGGUAGGAGAGCACUGCCUACCUUGGGAUCCAGUUCCGGAGCCUGGCUGCCCUAAUGGUGAAGUCCCAUCUCCUGAUGUCCAGCCUAGAUUCAUAGAAGCAGGGUUGCAAGGGAUCUGGUCGAUCAUCGAGUCUGACCCCCUGCCCUGGGCGGGACAGGAAACCGGGCUCAAAUGACCCCAGCCAGGUAGACAUUGAGCCUCCUCUGAAAGACCCCCAGGGUAGGAGCCAUCACCGCUUCCCUUGGCAGUCGGUUCCAGAUCCUAGUCACCCUGAUUGUGAAGUAGUGCCUUUGGAUGUCUAGUCUAAACCUACUUGCUAACAAUUUGUGGCUAUUAUUCCUUGUUAUGGGGCGGUGGGGUGGGGGUGCUAGGGAGAACUGGGUUUCUGUCAAAGCCUGCUGGUCCCCACCUGGGGAGCUUAUAGAUGGGCACCAGCCCCACCUCAGCCUUCUCUGGCAUAGGCUGAACAGGUUCAGGUCCCGUAGCCUCUCUUUGUAGGGUCUGCCGUGCUGCCCCCGGAUCAUGUGGGUGGCCCUCCUCUGGACCAUCUCAAUGUUGUCGACAUCUCUUCUGCAGUGCGGCACCCAGAAGUAGAUGUGGUACUCCAGCUGAGGCCUGACCAGUGUCGCAUAGAGCGGGAGGAUUGCGUCCUUGGACCUGCUCAUGAUGCAUCUGUGGAUUCAUGACAAGAAGACUGGGACUAUGACUGCAGUGUGCCCGGCACUGCAGAGAGUGGUGGGAUUGCCUCCUGGGGCCCACUCGCGACGUGUCUGUAGAUGCGGGACAGGGUGCAGCAGGCCGUGCAGACCAUGUCCUUACGUCGCCAGCUCGCAUUUGUCAUAGAGGCGAUACUGACUUUGAGAGCCUUGUUGGCCACUGUGUAAAGAGCGUUCCUCAGCCUACGCUUGCCACCCCUGCAUCUGGAUUGCUGAGCGAGAUGUCGAACGUUAAGGACCCAGGGCCUGAGCCCUCGGGACCUCCCUCAAGCAGAUCUGCUGACCGGGGUGUCCCUGAGAGGGGUGUGGCCCUCACCCUCACCGCCCACGCAUUUAGUCCAAGCCCAGUGAACAGAUGUCUUUCUUUAUUAUCAGUAUCACUAUAUACAGGAAGAGAGAGAGAUUAAUAAAAAAUGGCAUAUAUACAUAUAUAUAUAUAAUCAACAGAGAAUAAUAAAACCAAUAAUUUAAAUA
This is a long non-coding RNA of Alligator mississippiensis (American alligator), 1464 nucleotides long. RefSeq lists it as uncharacterized. The record is from RefSeq and is a predicted model, not a curated record. Lineage: Eukaryota; Metazoa; Chordata; Crocodylia; Alligatoridae. The transcript is spliced from 2 exons.